RNAcentral lists this ribosomal RNA (234 nucleotides) under uncultured bacterium. RNAcentral's name for it is "partial 16S ribosomal RNA". It matches the Rfam family "Bacterial small subunit ribosomal RNA", at positions 96 to 334 of the family's 1533-position model. The record is from RNAcentral.
UGGCGGACGGGGGAGUAAUGUCUGGGAAACUGCCUGAUGGAGGGGGGUAACUACUGGAAACGGUAGCUAAUACCGCAUAACGUCGCAAGACCAAAGAGGGGACCUUAGGGCCUCUUGCCAACGGAUGUGCCCAGAUGGGAUUAGCUAGUAGGUGGGGUAACGGCUCACCUAGGCGACGAUCCCUAGCUGGUCUGAGAGGAUGACCAGCCACACUGGAACUGAGACACGGUCCAG